GAUGAACGCUAGCUACAGGCUUAACACAUGCAAGUCGAGGGGAAACGACAUCGAAAGCUUGCUUUUGAUGGGCGUCGACCGGCGCACGGGUGAGUAACGCGUAUCCAACCUGCCCACCACUUGGGGAUAACCUUGCGAAAGUAAGACUAAUACCCAAUGAUAUCUCUAGAAGACAUCUGAAAGAGAUUAAAGAUUUAUCGGUGAUGGAUGGGGAUGCGUCUGAUUAGCUUGUUGGCGGGGUAACGGCCCACCAAGGCAACGAUCAGUAGGGGUUCUGAGAGGAAGGUCCCCCACAUUGGAACUGAGACACGGUCCAAACUCCUACGGGAGGCAGCAGUGAGGAAUAUUGGUCAAUGGACGAGAGUCUGAACCAGCCAAGUAGCGUGCAGGAAGACGGCCCUAUGGGUUGUAAACUGCUUUUAUAAUGGAAUAAAGUGAGUCUCGUGAGACUUUUUGCAUGUACCUUAUGAAUAAGGACCGGCUAAUUCCGUG
Molecule: ribosomal RNA, 492 nt
Filed under: uncultured bacterium
Lineage: Bacteria
Description: partial 16S ribosomal RNA
Rfam family: Bacterial small subunit ribosomal RNA
Source: RNAcentral